This 505-nucleotide ribosomal RNA is filed under the name uncultured bacterium. RNAcentral's name for it is "partial 16S ribosomal RNA". It matches the Rfam family "Bacterial small subunit ribosomal RNA", at positions 28 to 507 of the family's 1533-position model. The record is from RNAcentral.
GACGAACGCUGGCGGCGUGCCUAAUACAUGCAAGUGGGACGCAAGGAAACACACUGUGCUUGCACACCGUGUUGUCUUGAGUCGCGAACGGGUGAGUAACGCGUAGGUAACCUGCCUAUUAGCGGGGGAUAACUAUGGGAAACGAUAGCUAAUACCGCCUACUAUUAAUUAUUGCAUGAUAAUUUAUGGAAAGAUGCAAUCGACUCACUAGUAGAUGGACCUGCGUUGUAUUAGCUAGUUUGUAAGGUUAGAGCUUACCAAGGCGACGAUACAUCGCCGAACGGAGAGGGUGAUCGGCCACCCUGGGACUGAGACACGGCCCAGACGCCUACGGGAGGCAGCCGUAGGGCAACUUCGGGAAUGGACGAAAGUCUGACCGAGCAACGCCGCGUGAGUGAAGAAGGAUUUCGGAUCGUAAAGCUCUGUUGUAAGUCAAGAACGUGGGUGAGAGUGGAAAGUUCACACAGUGACGGUAGCUUACCAGAAAGGGACGGCUAACUACGUG